AAGACUAUACUUUCAGGGAUCACUUCUAUAGUUUGUUACUAGAGAAGUUUCUCUGAACAUGUAGAGCACCGAUUCAAAAGCUAGC
This is a small nucleolar RNA of Pongo abelii (Sumatran orangutan), 85 nucleotides long. Its record names the gene U3. It matches the Rfam family "Small nucleolar RNA U3". Rfam says of the family: Small nucleolar RNAs (snoRNAs) are involved in the processing and modification of rRNA in the nucleolus. There are two main classes of snoRNAs: the box C/D class, and the box H/ACA class. U3 snoRNA is a member of the box C/D class. NCBI's taxonomy places the organism in Eukaryota, Metazoa, Chordata, Mammalia, Primates, Hominidae. The record is from Ensembl.